This is a non-coding RNA of Triticum aestivum (bread wheat), 136 nucleotides long. NCBI's taxonomy places the organism in Eukaryota, Viridiplantae, Streptophyta, Magnoliopsida, Poales, Poaceae. The record is from Rfam.
AAUAUAUUACCUCCACCCCAAAUUAGUUGUCUUAGAUUUGUCUAGAUAAUGGAUGUACCUAACACUAAAACGUGUCUAUAUACAUCCGUAUCUAGACAAAUCUAAGACAACUAAUUCGGGAUGGAGGGAGUAUCAA